RNAcentral lists this ribosomal RNA (481 nucleotides) under uncultured bacterium. RNAcentral's name for it is "bacterial SSU rRNA". It matches the Rfam family "Bacterial small subunit ribosomal RNA", at positions 538 to 1014 of the family's 1533-position model. The record is from RNAcentral.
GCAACGUAUCGGAUUACUGGGCGUAAGCGUGCGCAGGCUGUUUGGCAAGUCAGAUGUGAAAUCCCCGAGCUCAACUUGGGAACUGCGUUUGAAACUGCCAGACUAGAAUAGGUCAGAGGGGGGUAGAAUUCCACGUGUAGCAGUGAAAUGCGUAGAGAUGUGGAGGAAUACCAAUGGCGAAGGCAGCCCCCUGGGAUCAUAUUGACGCUCAUGCACGAAAGCGUGGGGAGCGAACAGGAUUAGAUACCCUGGUAGUCCACGCCCUAAACGAUGUCAACUAGUUGUUGGUGGAGUAAAAUCCAUGAGUAACGUAGCUAACGCGUGAAGUUGACCGCCUGGGGAGUACGGUCGCAAGAUUAAAACUCAAAUGAAUUGACGGGGGCCCGCACAAGCGGUGGAUUAUGUGGGAUUAAUUCGAUGCAACGCUAAAAACCUUACCUGGCCUUGACAUGUACGGAAACUGUCCGGAGAAUGGGAUUGG